This 421-nucleotide ribosomal RNA is filed under the name uncultured Flavobacteriaceae bacterium. RNAcentral describes it as "bacterial SSU rRNA". It matches the Rfam family "Bacterial small subunit ribosomal RNA", at positions 355 to 770 of the family's 1533-position model. The record is from RNAcentral. Lineage: Bacteria; Pseudomonadati; Bacteroidota; Flavobacteriia; Flavobacteriales; Flavobacteriaceae.
UGAGGAAUAUUGGUCAAUGGAGGCAACUCUGAACCAGCCAUGCCGCGUGCAGGAAGAAUGUCCUAUGGAUUGUAAACUGCUUUUGUACGGGAAGAAAAAGAACUACGAGUAGUUUAUUGACGGUACCGUAAGAAUAAGGAUCGGCUAACUCCGUGCCAGCAGCCGCGGUAAUACGGAGGAUCCGAGCGUUAUCCGGAAUCAUUGGGUUUAAAGGGUCCGUAGGUGGACGGUUAAGUCAGGGGUGAAAGUCUGCAGCUCAACUGUAGAAUUGCCCCUUGAUACUGGCUGUCUUGAGUUACUAUGAAGUGGUUAGAAUAUGUGGUGUAGCGGUGAAAUGCAUUAGAUAUCACAUAGAAUACCAAUUGCGAAGGCAGAUCACUAAUAGUACACUGACACUGAUGGACGAAAAGCGUGGGGAGCG